RNAcentral lists this long non-coding RNA (1636 nucleotides) under Homo sapiens (human). Its description in RNAcentral is "HSALNT0070256". The record is from RNAcentral. Lineage: Eukaryota; Metazoa; Chordata; Mammalia; Primates; Hominidae.
UAAUGGCUUAAAAUGACUACCAUUUAUUUUGGUCACAGUUCUAUGGGUUACAGUUUGAACAGGGCUCAACUGGGCCAUUCUAUUGGUCUUGACUGGGCUUGCGUGUGAAUCUAUAGGCAGCUGCAGAGAGCUGGAUUGCCAUGUCUCUGGCAGUGCCGGCUGUUGACUGGGAUGUUGGAGAGGACUGGGCCACGUGUUUCACAGCAUCCACCUGGCUAGAGUAGGCUUGUUCACAUGGUGACAGAAAUGUUCCAAGCGCAGUCAGCCCUCCGUAUCCAUGCGCUCCGCAUCUCUGGUUUUAACCAAGUCAUAAUUUAGUAUAACAACUAUCUACACAGCAUUUACAUUGUAUUAAGUAACAUAAGUAAUCUAGAAAUGAUUUGAAGGAUACAAAAGGAUGCGCAUAGGUUAUAUGGAAACACUGCAGCAUUUUAUAUAAGAGACUAGAGUGUCCACUGAUUUUGGGAGGUCCUGGAACCAAUCCCCCAUGGAUACAGAGGGAUGACUGCACAUCCUUGGGGUCAGCCCAGAUGUGCAAGCCCUUUGAAUGCCUCUACCUGAAUCACAUUUGCUACCACCCAUCCCGCUGGUCACAGCCAGUUGCAUGACCAAGUCCAGAGUGAGACAGGAUUGCCUAAGGGCGUGGAUGCUGGGAGCAGGAAGCAUUCGUGGCUGCUUUUGUAAUCAGACUAUUUGAGUUGAAAAUGGCCUUUAAGACCUGUCACAGAAAGGCCUAUCAGGCUUCUUUUUAUCACCACACUGUUCCUCCUACACUUUCCUCCUCCUGGAACCCUUUUUCUAUCUGUCUUUGGACAGAGCCCUAGUCCACUUUUUUUUUUGAGACAGGGGAGUGCUCUUUUGCCCAGGUUCUCAGUCCACACUCUCCACACAUCUAGGAUCAAGUGGCCUAUUCGCCACCAUGGCUACGACUAGCUGUAUCAGCUGUGAUCAUGAACCCUCACAUUUGCGAGGGCAGGCAGAGGGAGUCCCUCCCUACCACGUGGUCAUUGCCUUCCCUCUUUAUUAUUAACCCCUUUCAUAGAAGAAUCAGCUGAAGCCUAGAGGUGUGGGAUAUUUUGCACAAACCUAUGCUGGAGCAACAAGGGGAGCCAGGCUUGGAACUCCAUUUGUCUGAUUCCAGAGACUGCACUCCCCGCCAGUACUUGAUCCUCCCCACAGCCGCCGUCUCUCCAAGUCAAAGGCCCCUGAAGUUCUCCCUCACUCUGUUUCAAGUGGCAAAAGCCCCAGGCUCCAGGCCUGUUCACGGACUCCCGACAGAUCUCCUGCAGCUUUUCUCUUGCUCCUGCUUUUACUGGGAAUUAUAACUAUUUCAGCAGUUUUAGUGUUUGAAGGAAGCUUUCUCUACGUAUCUUUCCUCCCUCUGGGGACAGGAUUGCUUUACUCAUCACAGGGAAGGCCUUAAAUGACCUUCUGCUACAUCCACAGAUUUUAUUUCAUCUCUCUCCAUUAGAAAUAAAGAUGAAGGCAAGACCAUGGUUUCUGAGUUCUCUUAGUCUCCACAGAAUGUAAUUACUACAUUUUUUUCUUUUUCUAAUCACAGGAGACUUCUCUCAGCAACCUAGUUACUGAUUCUAUUACUCCCUCACUCUCCACUUCCAACUGCUCUUUGAAGCGG